GAUGAACGCUGGCGGCGUGCCUAAUACAUGCAAGUCGAGCGAACGGACGAGAAGCUUGCUUCUCUGAUGUUAGCGGCGGACGGGUGAGUAACACGUGGAUAACCUACCUAUAAGACUGGGAUAACUUCGGGAAACCGGAGCUAAUACCGGAUAAUAUUUUGAACCGCAUGGUUCAAUAGUGAAAUGCGGUCUUGCUGUCACUUAUAGAUGGAUCCGCGCUGCAUUAGCUAGUUGGUAAGGUAACGGCUUACCAAGGCAACGAUGCAUAGCCGACCUGAGAGGGUGAUCGGCCACACUGGAACUGAGACACGGUCCAGACUCCUACGGGAGGCAGCAGUAGGGAAUCUUCCGCAAUGGGCGAAAGCCUGACGGAGCAACGCCGCGUGAGUGAUGAAGGUCUUCGGAUCGUAAAACUCUGUUAUUAGGGAAGAACAUAUGUGUAAGUAACUGUGCACAUCUUGACGGUACCUAAUCAGAAAGCCACGGCUAACUACGUG
Molecule: ribosomal RNA, 497 nt
Filed under: uncultured bacterium
Lineage: Bacteria
Description: partial 16S ribosomal RNA
Rfam family: Bacterial small subunit ribosomal RNA
Source: RNAcentral